RNAcentral lists this long non-coding RNA (1109 nucleotides) under Marmota monax (woodchuck). Lineage: Eukaryota; Metazoa; Chordata; Mammalia; Rodentia; Sciuridae. The record is from RNAcentral.
GGACAGAACUUGGGAUUUACUAAUUACAGUGUGGUCAGUGCUGCCUGGCUACUCAGGAAAAUCCUCUUGGAACAUCACUACUUACAAGGUUAUUUCUUUUUAUGUUUUCAAUGGCAGGUGUCAGAUGUGACAUCAUGAUGACCCAGUCUCCAUCCUCUUUGCCUGUGUCUCAUGGAGACAGAGUCACCCUCACCUGCAGGGCCAGUAAGGGCAUUAGCAAUUAUUUACACUGAUACCAGCAGAAACCAGGGCAAGCUCCUAAGCUCCUCAUCAGAUAUGCUAACACUUUGAAAUCUGGGGUCCCCUUGAGGUUCAGUGGCAGUGGAUCUGGUACAGAUUUCACUCUCACCAUCAGCAGCCUGGAGCCUGAAGAUGUUGCCAAUUAUUACUGUCAACAAGGUAGCAGUUCCCCUCUUACAGUGACACAGGCCAUGACAAAACCCUCCCAGGGAGCAGAAGUGUGAGGCUGGGCUGCCCCAGCUGCUCCUCCUGCUGCCUCUACCUAUUGAGGGCACUCCUCAGAGGCAGUCAGGCCCUGAGCACUACAAGAAGGGUCAGUCAGAGGAACGGGAGCUCUUCUGCACCCUGACCUUUCAGAUCAGCCCCAGCAGGCUAUGAGCUCAGUGUAUGAUAAAGAAAGUAAUUUAAGACCUGAAGAGACUGAAUUAGGCAGUAUCAGGGGUUGUGCAGCAAAGACAAGCCUCUCCAUGUGUUCCACAUGGGAAUAUUUUAAGACUUUAUUUUUAGUAUACUUUAAGUCCCCAGCAAAAUUGGGGUGAAGUACAUGGUUCUCAUGUGUCCCCUGUGCUUCCAGAGCCUCUCCAUCACCACGCCCAGACUCUGUUGCUCCUGUUACAAUUCAUCAACCUCUGCUCAAGUCUACAGGUCACACCAGGGUCAUUUUGAGCAUUUUGUGGAACUAGACAAGUGGACAGUGACAUGUGUCCAGCAGUGUGACCUGGCACAGUGCAGGUACCACCCUCACACUGUCUGAGCUCCAGCUGCUCCUAACCCCCUUCUCUGCUGUGGACCUUCAUGGUUUUCCAUCCUGUAGUUUCACCUGGGCUGACAUUUGCCUGGCACUCACAGCAUGAAGAUAUUCAGACUGG